RNAcentral lists this ribosomal RNA (395 nucleotides) under uncultured Treponema sp. RNAcentral's name for it is "bacterial SSU rRNA". It matches the Rfam family "Bacterial small subunit ribosomal RNA", at positions 355 to 794 of the family's 1533-position model. The record is from RNAcentral. Lineage: Bacteria; Pseudomonadati; Spirochaetota; Spirochaetia; Treponematales; Treponemataceae.
CUAAGAAUAUUCCGCAAUGGAGGAAACUCUGACGGAGCGACGCCGCGUGGAUGAUGAAGGUCGGAAGAUUGUAAAAUCCUUUUAUGACUGAGGAAUAAGCCGGGUGAGAGAAACGCCUGGUGGUGACUGUAGGUCAUGAAUAAGCAACGGCUAAUUACGUGCCAGCAGCCGCGGUAACACGUAAGUUGCGAGCGUUGUUCGGAAUUAUUGGGCGUAAAGGGCAUGUAGGCGGUAUUGCAAGCCUGGUGUGAAAGGCAGGGGCUCAACCUCUGGACUGCGCUGGGAACUGCGUAGAGAUUGGGAGGAACACCAGUGGCGAAGGCGACUUACUGGGCCGUAACUGACGCUGAGGCGCGAAAGCGUGGGGAGCGAACAGGAUUAGAUACCCUGGUAGU